RNAcentral lists this transfer RNA (76 nucleotides) under Erysipelotrichaceae bacterium. RNAcentral describes it as "tRNA-Arg". It matches the Rfam family "tRNA". From Rfam's summary of the family: Transfer RNA (tRNA) molecules are approximately 80 nucleotides in length. Their secondary structure includes four short double-helical elements and three loops (D, anti-codon, and T loops). Further hydrogen bonds mediate the characteristic L-shaped molecular structure. tRNAs have two regions of fundamental functional importance: the anti-codon, which is responsible for specific mRNA codon recognition, and the 3' end, to which the tRNAs corresponding amino acid is attached (by aminoacyl-tRNA synthetases). tRNAs cope with the degeneracy of the genetic code in two manners: having more than one tRNA (with a specific anti-codon) for a particular amino acid; and 'wobble' base-pairing, i.e. permitting non-standard base-pairing at the 3rd anti-codon position. Lineage: Bacteria; Bacillati; Bacillota; Erysipelotrichia; Erysipelotrichales; Erysipelotrichaceae. The record is from RNAcentral.
GCGCUUUUAGCUCAAUGGAUAGAGCGUUUGAUUCCGAUUCAAAAGGGUAUGAGUUCGAUUCUCAUAAAGCGCUCCA